Long non-coding RNA from Xenia sp. Carnegie-2017, 83 nucleotides. RefSeq lists it as uncharacterized. Lineage: Eukaryota; Metazoa; Cnidaria; Anthozoa; Malacalcyonacea; Xeniidae. The transcript has 3 exons. The record is from RefSeq and is a predicted model, not a curated record.
AACACGAUGGAGCGGGAUAGCGAUCUUCCAUAAGAAGCUCAGUAAUUCGCGUGAAAAUGGGUGAUGUUACCAUGUACUUUGCU